RNAcentral lists this ribosomal RNA (253 nucleotides) under uncultured bacterium. Its description in RNAcentral is "partial 16S ribosomal RNA". It matches the Rfam family "Bacterial small subunit ribosomal RNA", at positions 524 to 776 of the family's 1533-position model. The record is from RNAcentral.
UACGGAGGGGGCAAGCGUUGUUCGGAAUUAUUGGGCGUAAAGAGUAUGUAGGCGGCUAGAUAAGUCAGACGUGUAAGCCCAUGGCUCAACCAUGGAAUUGCGUUUGAAACUAUUUAGCUUGAGUGCAGGAGAGGAAAGCGGAAUUCCCAGUGUAGCGGUGAAAUGCAUUGAUAUUGGGAAGAACACCGGUGGCGAAGGCGCUCUGCUGGGCCAUCACUGACGCUCAUGGACGAAAGCCAGGGGAGCGAAAGGG